Molecule: long non-coding RNA, 1660 nt
Organism: Beta vulgaris subsp. vulgaris (sugar beet)
Lineage: Eukaryota; Viridiplantae; Streptophyta; Magnoliopsida; Caryophyllales; Amaranthaceae
Exons: 3
Source: RefSeq, a predicted model, not a curated record
UAUAAAUCGAUGGAAAAAUAUAAUUAACACUCAGAAUUAACUACAUUUAUUAAUUAUAGUGUUUAUAUUAAUACUAGAGUUUUCAAAUAAUUACAUACUUUCUCUAAUUGUUGUAGCUUAGUAACAAAUAUUAGGAUUAAUGUAAUUGUUUGAAAAGUUUUCACAAUAAUUAAAAAACCCUACAUAGAUUCUUCCACUUAGACCUUCAAAACAAAAAAAAACCUAAAAAAGCAAGUCAAUAAAAAGACUCACACUAACCGACUUUCCGAAACCGCGUCAAAUUUAAAACCGUUGUAAUGUAAACCGCCUCCUCAAUCAUCAUAAUUCAUACGCUACCUGUGGCAGCUACUCCUAUAAAUACUUCUCCACCAAUUUUUGUACGCUAAUGAUUUAGGUUUUCCUCUUUACUGUCUUUAAUUUGUUCUCGAUUGCUCAAUUUCAGAUUAUUUAUGUUCUUGCGAAUUUCAAUUUCCGUUUUCGAUUGAUUCUUUGUGGUGUGAUUUUGGUGUGCGCAGCACCAUAAUGACACAUACAGCUCUAUGCUUCAGGUUUCAUGUUUUGAUCUUGUAGUCGACUAUCUCAAUUCUCAACUGGUGUUUUGGUUUUCCUUUGAUUCUUACUUUUACGAGUUCUAUGUUUCAUAUUGUGUGUCGUUGCAUUCAUUGACAUGAUAGUGGUGACUCGGAGGUUCAAAGUUCAAAGUUGGUGGAUUACAUAAUUCUUUUGCUCAGCUUCUUGGAUAAAGUAACUAACUAACUAACUAUAUUAAUUUUAAAUUUUAAAUAUCUCUUGCACAUUCUAAGUUUAUCCUUAUACUUCAGGUGCAUUUUCCAUCGAUGUUUAAUGGUGUCCGGUGCUGGUAUCUUUCUUUUCAUCCCAAGCUAUAUGUGUCGUACACUAUCUUACAUCCUUAAAUUUGUUGACACGAGAUUGGUAAUGCAGCCCAAUGCUUAUGGAUUAGGGAUGUUAAAGUCAAGUGUCAGCCCACAUUCUACGGGUCAUUGUGUAAGCAUAUGCAUUGUGAGAAUCCAUUUUUUGGAUGAUUUUCCUUCUGGUAAUUGUUUCUCGUUUUGACUAAUGAUUUUUGAGAUGUUAUUGGACAUUGGUGCAUUUUAAUAUACGAGAUUAUCUUUCAGAUACUAUUAUAUCUUCAGGAUUGGGGGUCACAGCUGGAAUGGUGGGAGUGGCAAAAGGGUUGGGGUUGUUGGAUUAUAUUGGAUCUCAUAGUUGCAAGACUCCUUCCAUGGCUUGGAAUUUUUUAAAAUAGGAAGUCUCUGUAACUAAAUAUAUGCAUAAUGUUGAUGUCAAUUAUGUUAUUCAUGCCUUGCUGGAUCGAGCUCUUAUAGCAACCAGUGUAUGUGUAGUUUGUCUGUGUGUUUGCAGGCAUCCCUCUCUGCAAUAAGGAGUUUUCUCACUCUGUCUCAAUCUCUUACAAGAGAAGGUUCAGAUUGAUCUGCAUAUAUGAACAAGCUUCGAUAGACUAUGUUCUUACAGCAUAUGCUGGGGCCUGGGGAGCCUGGGAACUUAUGUGGUGUUUAUGACCAGGUUAUUUUGGGGACAAGUCAAUUCAUUUUUGAACAGGUAAAAGCUGCUUCACGAGGGCGAUUGGAGUUCUUUUGGACUGUAAUCGCGCUGGACUAGAUGGACUCUUCUUGUGAGG